UACAGAGACUGCAAGCGUUAUUCGGAUUCACUGGGCGUAAAGGGUGCGCAGGUGGCUUUGUGUGUCAGGUGUGAAAUCCCGGGGCUUAACCCCGGAACUGCGCCUGAAACUGCAAAGCUAGAGCAUUGGAGAGGGAAGUGGAAUUCACGGUGUAGCAGUGAAAUGCGUAGAUAUCGUGAGGAACACCAGAGGCGAAGGCGACUUCCUGGACAAUUGCUGACACUCAGGCACGAAAGCAUGGGGAGCAAAAGGG
RNAcentral lists this ribosomal RNA (253 nucleotides) under uncultured bacterium. RNAcentral describes it as "partial 16S ribosomal RNA". It matches the Rfam family "Bacterial small subunit ribosomal RNA", at positions 524 to 776 of the family's 1533-position model. The record is from RNAcentral.